RNAcentral lists this unclassified non-coding RNA (1715 nucleotides) under Hermetia illucens (black soldier fly). RNAcentral's name for it is "phosphatidylserine decarboxylase proenzyme, mitochondrial, transcript variant X4". Lineage: Eukaryota; Metazoa; Arthropoda; Insecta; Diptera; Stratiomyidae. The record is from RNAcentral.
AUCAGCUGAUCGCACAUGUAUUUAAAAGUGAGUGUGGGAGUUGUUUGUUCUCAGUUUUAUAAAGUUUUAGCGCAAUUAAGUUAUUCUUGAAAAGUACGAAUUGUCGUCGGGUCUCGUGUAGUGCACGCAAAAAUAUUGCAAGUUUCUAGUUGGAUUUUAUGUAAUUGUACAUUAGACGUUGCUCGAAAUGGCCGUGUAUUUUAUGCCAAAGAAUCAUCUAAUUACAAAGGCCUCUACCCUAAAAUCUUUCCCAAACAAAUGGACCAUAAGAUGGGCAACGACACGUCGAAAUCUAUCAAAUAAAGUUUCAGGUACGCCCGGAAUUAAUACUACAUCACAACAAACACAAACAUCAUAUGGACAACAUCGUGAUAAGAAAAAAGGUAAAUUCAGUAAAUUAAAAAGCCUCCAAUUGGAAUGGAGUUGGAAAGCGGGGGCUAGUUUCACUAUAUUAUCAGUAUUGGAUUGGUGGUUGUUGGCUGCAGGAUGGUUUACAUGGUCGGGACUGUUGACACGAUGGACCCCCAUAGGCGUUUGCGUCUUUGCUGCACUUGAGUGGCACUAUCAUACACGUAAAUUGGAAAAGCAGGGGCUACCUAUUACAGCGUCAGAAAUACAGAGAAUCGCCUACUGCUCUUUACCUUUACGGCUUGUUAGUCGAUGCUGGGGCUGGGUAGCAUCGUGCCCUGUUCCACCAGCGCUAAGACCAACAGUUUUCGGUGCCUAUGUGAACGCCUUCGAUGUCAACAUGGAAGAAGCGGAAAAUCCCGAGUUGAAGCAAUACCGCAGUCUUUCCGAGUUUUUCACUCGUACACUCAGAAAUGAUGUGCGUGUCAUUGAUAAAGCAAGUCUCGUUUCACCCGCCGAUGGUCGAGUUUUACAUUUCGGUUCAGCGACUGAAUCACGAAUUGAACAGGUGAAAGGAAUUACUUACAGUUUAGACGCAUUUUUGGGACCACCAAGUUGGACUAAAAAUGAAAAUUGUUCUAGCUGUGCUGAUGCUCUUAAACUUAAUAAAGAUUCUGCACUGUAUCAGUGCGUUAUUUAUUUAGCACCCGGGGAUUAUCAUAGAUUUCAUUCGCCAGCCAAAUGGGAGCCAGAAAUUCGACGCCACUUUACCGGUCAGCUACUAUCAGUUAGUCCAAAAAUUGCAGAAUGGUUACCGGGACUAUUUUGCUUAAACGAACGUGCAUUGUAUAUUGGAAAAUGGGAGUAUGGAUUUUUCAGUUUUACUGCAGUAGAAAAUUAACGGAACAUAUCCUAUGGACGGGUUUCUUAAAAAAAAAAAUACUUUACACGAUCUAAAAUCAAACAAAAAAUGAUUUUAGAUAAUGUAGCACUUUGACAUCGCGUGAAUAUUGCCUUUCCUUGGAUCCGAAAUCCAUAUUGAAAGUUUAUCCUGAUUUAGGCUAAACUCAAGGGCAGAAGACGAGAGGCAUAAAGGGCGACGUCCUGAUCACAAGUUUUACAACGUUGACUGACACGACGCAGGUGUCUAGAGUGUCGCUAACCGGCGAGAGUAGAGGAAGCAAAGGGUACAUGUUGCUGACAAUGUACUUCCACGAAUCGUAUUCGACUUAAAAGGGAACGUCUUUGAACGAAAAAUACUUUUUGUGGAGCUACAAACGUUGGAUCUGUACAAAUAUACUUCGACGAUGGGUUGAAGACAAACAAAUAUGUCCUGGGUCCACUGAAGAGGAAACGAUACGACGAGC